UACGGAAGGCAGCAGGGGGAAUAUUGGACAAUGGGCGGGAAGCCUGAUCCAGCCAUGCCGCGUGUGUGAAGAAGGCCUUUUGGUUGUAAAGCACUUUAAGCGAGGAGGAGGCUACUAGUAUUAAUACUACUGGAUAGUGGACGUUACUCGCAGAAUAAGCACCGGCUAACUCUGUGCCAGCAGCCGCGGUAAUACAGAGGGUGCGAGCGUUAAUCGGAUUUACUGGGCGUAAAGCGUGCGUAGGCGGCUUUUUUAAGUCGGAUGUGAAAUCCCCGAGCUUAACUUGGGAAUUGCAUUCGAUACUGGGAAGCUAGAGUAUGGGAGAGGAUGGUAGAAUUCCAGGUGUAGCGGUGAAAUGCGUAGAGAUCUGGAGGAAUACCGAUGGCGAAAGGCAGCCAUCUGGGCCUAAUCUGACGCUGAGGUACGAAAGCAUGGGGA
Molecule: ribosomal RNA, 438 nt
Filed under: uncultured bacterium
Lineage: Bacteria
Description: bacterial SSU rRNA
Rfam family: Bacterial small subunit ribosomal RNA
Source: RNAcentral